GCCUGCCUCGCCGGAACAACCGCGCCCGGGUAACGCUCUCACGAGAACAAUGUGAUCACGAAUACAACGUUACUUAUGACAAUAUACAAUAAUAUAAUUGUGAUGAACAAAUGCAGGCGUCCAAGAUUUUCGAAUUAGAUAAAAAUUAAUGUAGAUUAGGAUGCGGGACGCUUAGUUUAAGAUGUUAUGGACUAAGACUAUGGUGUAAGCAGAAUGGCAGCGGUAGCCGGGCUUUAUGGCCUUGGCGACGAACAGAGGGGCAGGCAUCGACGGGGACAAAUCAAUGCCGAGCGAUCAGAAUCCCGGGAUGACAAUACAGAAGCGUCGCUGCCAAAACUAUACAACCAAGAAGAAGAACAAGGGAAGCCGCCUCAAAGCGGUGUCGUCACCUUUGAGCCGAUUGAUCAUGAUCACGACUUAUGCGAGAGAGUCGUGAUCAACAUAAGCGGCCUCAGGUUUGAAACUCAACUAAGGACACUUAACCAAUUCCCGGAAACGCUGCUGGGAGAUCCAGCGCGAAGAAUAAGAUACUUUGACCCAAUACGGAAUGAGUACUUCUUUGACAGAAACAGACCAUCUUUCGACGCCAUUCUGUAUUACUACCAGAGUGGUGGUCGGCUGCGAAGACCCGUCAACGUCCCACUUGAUGUCUUCUCUGAGGAAAUCAAAUUCUACGAGCUCGGAGAACAGGCCACCAACAAAUUCCGCGAGGAUGAAGGUUUCAUCAAGGAAGAGGAGAAGCCUCUGCCUUCCAACGAACGUCAGCGCAAAAUCUGGCUGCUCUUCGAAUACCCCGAGAGCUCCCAGGCUGCCCGUGUUGUUGCCAUCAUUUCGGUGUUCGUGAUCCUCCUUUCCAUCGUCAUUUUCUGCCUUGAAACACUGCCAGAAUUCAAGCACUACAAAGUUUACAACACCACCACCAAUGGCACCAAGAUUGAAGAGGAUGAGGUUCCCGACAUCACCGACCCAUUCUUCUUAAUAGAAACCCUGUGCAUCAUCUGGUUUACGUUCGAGUUGAUUGUGAGAUUUUUAGCAUGUCCGAACAAAUUUAACUUCUUCAGAGACGUGAUGAACAUAAUAGAUAUCAUAGCUAUUAUUCCCUACUUCAUCACGCUUGCUACCGUCGUUGCUGAAGAAGAGGACACGCUAAAUCUGCCUCGAGCUCCGGUAUCCCCUCAAGACAAGUCGACGAAUCAAGCGAUGAGCUUAGCAAUCCUGAGAGUGAUUCGACUUGUCCGAGUCUUCCGGAUCUUCAAGCUCUCUCGUCAUUCCAAGGGUCUGCAAAUUUUAGGACGCACCCUCAAAGCAUCUAUGAGAGAACUCGGACUGUUAAUAUUCUUUCUCUUCAUCGGUGUGGUGCUGUUUUCGUCUGCGGUGUACUUCGCGGAAGCGGGAAGCGAAAAUAGCUUCUUCAAAUCGAUACCUGAUGCGUUUUGGUGGGCGGUCGUUACCAUGACGACCGUGGGAUACGGAGACAUGACGCCUGUUGGAGUUUGGGGAAAAAUCGUGGGGUCUUUGUGUGCAAUUGCUGGUGUACUUACCAUCGCACUGCCUGUGCCCGUCAUCGUGUCCAACUUUAACUACUUCUACCACCGUGAAACUGAUCAGGAGGAGAUGCAAUCGCAGAACUUCAACCAUGUUACCAGCUGUCCGUACUUGCCAGGAACCCUCGGCGAACCAUACUUAGUUUCAGGACCAAUCAAGAAGUCCUCAGUUAGCGAUGACUCUUCAUCCGAUAUGAUGGAAUUAGAGGAAUCGGCUCUAGUAACUGAUCCCCACUUGGAGACCAACCUGCGGCGGUUACGUGAGGAAGGAAGGUUGCUCCUUGAGCAGAAAAAGGUCUUGGAGGCUGCUGGUACCAGUGAUGAUAUUGCAACCCUGGAACUGCUUGAUGCCAUACGGUUGAAUCAGAUAAAACAACAAGAGCUGGGGAAGCAACAAGCUGCGUUGGCGAAGCGCAAUUCUCGAGCCCACUGCAUGGACGCACGCCGUGACCAGCGCAGGCGCACCCAGUGCAACGUACGCAUCAACCAAUUGCACAGCGCAAGCGCACCUGAAUCUAUAGAAACAGACGUCUGACCAACAGUUGAAGUAGAAGUACUCGUUCAUCAUCCCCCGGGAAAUUAUAUCUGAAAGGCGAGUCGGGAUAUAACAGGCGGUGUCUGGCGUGGACGAAUGCCAGCUCGUUCGCCUCCUGCCUGCCACGUGUGACCCCCUCCCCCGUUUUCCCACUUGGCCUUACCUCACGAAACCCUCGAGGACUUUAUGUGCUUCUACGAAUUAGUUAGAAAUUAGCCAUUAUUAUAAACGCUUGUACCAUAUGAGAACAGAUUUAGUAAUAGUUUGGUUUAUAUCCAUCUUUAAUUAUGUGUAACAUCGGGAUUAAUUUAAAACAAAAGACGAAGAUUUUCGUUUUACUUUGAUUGGGUAAAAGCACCUCUAGUCCAAUCACAAGUAAACAAAAGACGCUCGCUUAAUAUUAACGCUCCGGUAUAAGGGUGGCCAAAAAGUCUUGGAUCAAACGCAACUGGGGGGUUAGAUGGGGUCAUCAGCUGCAAAAAAUUGUUAUACGGGAGAUCCUUAAGCUCAACCCCUGCAGAGUUAUAAUUUAUUUUGUGUUUUCAUAAGAAAUGUCAAGUUUCUUUUAAAAACGCAAAAUAAAUUAUAACUCUGCUGGAGUUGAGCUUAAGAACCUCCGGUAGAACAAUUUUUGCAGCUGAUGACCCCAUCUAACUCCUAGCAGCGAUUGAUCCACGACUUUUUGGCUAUCCUGUAUACCGGUAGGUUUCCAUGCCCUAUGCUUGGAAAACCUUUUGUCAGUUUAAUUCAGAUGUUAGACUUUACGUUAUCAAGUGAAGUUUGCUAUAUUAAUACUCAUCAAGAAUAAUUUCAAGUAGCAAUUUGUCUAUUUCACUUUACGAUGUAUACAAACAACAAACUCUUUCAAUUGAAAUUAGAUAUAUUUACCUUAUUACUGUUGAUAUAAUUUGAAUAUCAAUGAUUAUAUGUAUAAUUAAAGAUGGAAAUAAAUAUUUUUAAAGGCUUAUUCCGCUUCAACACUUACAGCUACACACUUCGACACUUCUGUAAUAUUAGGAAUUGUUCUUCAGAAAUAUGUAAUUGAAAUAGGCCUACAAUUAUUAGAUGGUACAUUUAGGACUCUGAUAUAUGACAAUACAAAGGAUGUGACAAGGGGCUAGUGCGCCUUAAACGGAUUAUGAAAAACACGGAUACUGACGUAAAAUAAGAUUCGCUUUGUUAAACAUCUAUUUAGCGGCACAAGACUUUCGAUAAUAAUUGUCGAAUCUACUUAUAUUAUGACAAUUCAUGCCUCUGUAAAUGCAACUAUUGGUAUAUAUUGAAUAGAUAUAGGAUGCUUGAAUAGACAUCUGUCUAUAAGAGAUCGUAUUAUUUGUUGUUGCAUAAAUGGUGCUAAGCAAUGGCAAAGACAUCCUAAAUCUAUGCAUUGUAUGCAAUCUAUUUGAUGGCAAGUAUCGUUUAAAUGCGGUGAGUGUGGAUGAUGGCUAUGGUGAGGCAUUUAGAACGAGGUUGAAGGCAAGGACAACGUAUUUAUAUUGAAUGUUGUGAUUCUAUGGGCAAUCGCCGACUGUACUUGUAACACCCUCAAUGAACCAUAGUAGUGGACGCCCGUGUAGUUGUAGAGGAUCAAUGUUGUGUUUACGAUAAGUGUGUUUAUUUGAUGGAAAGCAGAGGUUGUGAUAACUCCAGUAUUGCAUAUCCCAGUGAAGCGUAUCCAGGUUUUACGCGUGUUGACGGUGAGCAAUAUGUUCAUAUCAGGCAAUCUUGGAUUUAAAUUGCGUCAAUUUUCUCUCUAAAUUUAUAGAUAACGUCAAUAAUUCAGAGUUCGCUUGCUUUACGUCUAAAACUUACAUAUCGUGUGUGCGAAGUCGUAAGAUUGUAUUUAAAAUGGAAUGUUAUCGGAGUAUAUGAUGGAAGUUUAUCAUCUCAAAUUCGUUGUCAAUUUGCUUGUGUGUAGGCAUAGAAAUAUCACUUUGGUUAUAAGCAUUAUUGUGAAUGAGCAACCAAAAUCCGGUAAAAUUUGUGUGUCACAUUAAUUCCCCGGGCCUAAUUCCUUUUUACCAUCUAUGGAUGAUAGCGUUUACUUCUCGUAGAUAUGUGCUGUUUGAUGGAGUGUUCUCAAUAUCAAUAUUGCUUAUAUCAAGGAAGUUAUUAAAUGUUCAAAGGUAAAUAAUUUUUUCCAUAUCAUUAUACAUGUCAUAGCGGUAAACAUUAAAAUAUAUAACUCGUUUAUUCUCUUAGAUAUAAAUUAGUGUUAGGUGAUAAGAUUAAGGAUAUUUGUGUCUAUAUACGUCUUGGGUUAUUUACGUAACAAAAGCUGCCAAAAUAUCGCUUGGAUUUUUUAAAAUAACCGAUGGUAUUUUUAUAACAGUAGGCCCCAGGGUUUGCGAAUUAUAUGGCUAUUGCAGUAUAUGUCGCCUCUCAAUUCCCUCAAUUUAACAGUCAUUACACCACAACAAGACUCGUUUAUACAUUUCCAACAGUCACAUCAAAAUAUAUAUUCUUAUGAAAUCAUGGGGCCUGCGUCAUUAUAACACAAGAAAAGUACAUUUUUAACUCUAAAUUUAAAAUAAUUUUCCGAUCAGAUUGAAUAUAUUUCAUUAAUAAAUCAGCCUUCGUGGCUGCCAAGCUAUAUAAUAGUUUCGUAUUGGAAGGUACAAGCUUAAUAAAUAAUCAAAAAUCUACCAUACCUUAUUAGGCUAUUACACUGCAGUUCAAACUAUUCAUACAACAAUUUUAAUUACGUAAUAAAACUCAUAAUUUAUAAAUAAUAAUAUAUAGAAUUUAAACGAAUACAAGCAUACUCUCGCACAUGUUUUGUAUUCGAAUUUAAACUAUAUGGCUGUCUUAGAAUUCAUUUCGAUGCACAAACGGUAUCGAGGUUGUUGCAAGUACAGAUACCUAUGUGUCAAUCUAUAUAUGUUAAAUUGUAGGUAUAUGUGUCUAUAUAGUCAGUAGCGCACGGGUCCACUGACUGACGAGUUACAGGAAUUAAUAGGUGAAAGUUGAAUUAUAUUAAUUUUAGCGUAAGACUAGUGGAAAACAAUGUUUAACACUAUUACGUCUGUAAAGGCAUUUGUGUUGAAAACUUUCCAAAUAAUUCGAAAUUUAAAAAAAACAACAUAGACUAGGCAUAUCCAACAAUUUUUUAAAAACAAAGCCGUAAACUCAUUUUAGAGUCGUUGCUACGACAGGAGUUGUCAAUUCGUAUUGCCCAGUCUUCUCAAUGCUAAAUAUAAUAAAAUUACGAUGUAAAGCGCGUUAGUUAUCGACCAAUUUCUUAAAAGAUGUAUUUUAUUGAGGCGAGACUGACGUACAUUCCAUUAACUAUAAUUAUAGUAUAGAUGUAUCGCAAUGGAUUGUGAAUUACUCAUGUUGGCCAAAAUUGUAUUUACGCUCACUGCGUAUUAUAAUUUUUGCUCAGUAUUAUUAGUUGUAUCGAAGGAUGUAGUCACGGACCCGAUGCGUAUUAACACCGUUUGCUCUCUUUAUAUCUUGGCCUAAAGUAUAUAUCCAAGUGAACGUAAUCUUUCAUAGGCAAAAUAUAAAGGAAGCAAACAAAAUAUCCAACUUCGUUUUAAAUGACUCGAAUGGAAUCUUGAAAUUAUCUUUCACUUCAAGAUUCUUAACAAUAAGUAGUUGACAUAUAUCUAGAUUUCACCCAGAUAAUUUUCUAUAAUAGUUAGGGCGAAGUUGGUUACUAUUAAUAUAUUUAGUCUGAAAAGACAGACUGUAUAUAAUAUGGUCUUUAGUAAACAACUGUAAUCAGUAAAAUUUAAUCUGUAUAUUUUAUUUUAAGAUCUAUAAUUAGAUAUAUGCAAACCUUAGCGUAUACUGGGUAUACUCGUACUUCUGCUUGAGCAAUUACGGUCUGUGAGCUGUUCACGUGUUCUCCGGAACUUGGACGGGACUCGACUCGGUUGCGACAGCUUAUGCUUAAACAGACUAUCAUAAGACGUGCUGAUUACAUUGACUCAAAGAAUUGCUGUCAUAACUGUUACCCUACUUAGAUUUAUGUGGUUAAAGUCAGAUUCGAGAUUUAGCACUUAAUAAUACCCUGCAUGACAAAACGUUUUGGGUUUGACAUGCGGGAGUAAUACUUACUAUGUCUUGACUCUGAAUCCUGCACUAAGAACGCCAAAACACCGAAGAACGAAAAUUUGUUUUUUAUUAAACAAUAAUUUUGAAACAUAAUACAUAAUUUAUAUUCGCGAUGUGUAUUUAUAACUAUUUGCAUCAAUGUAAUGAGCGUACUAAGCGAAAAUAAUAAUUUCUUACCACUUGCCCCUCUCCGUCCAGGACAAAGCGUGUUCAUAUUCUAUCACUUAAUUAUACAUAUUAUUUACGAUAUUUGCAAAUCACGUUUAAAAUUGACUGACUAUUCGGCUUCACAUUAAAACUUCAGUUGAAGAUUAUAGAAUUUAUUCAGCUGGCUAACUUCACAAUUAUCGCGUAUGAUAAGAAUGGAAAUAUGUAUAUCUAGUAAUACCUAAUAUCUUACAUUAAAAUUUAAGGUUUUAUAAUGUUUAAAGCUUUUCUAGUAUACUUAAAAUGAGAUCUUAUGAGGUAAUCAGAAUUUUACGCGAAAUAACAUUUCCAUCCAGUAAUAAUUAGAUAAUAGAUAUAAUAUCAUGCGAUAUUUAAUUCCUAUAGUACCGUAAAAUUAAUAGGUUCGAUGGGCGUACUAUGUAUGAUUUUCAUCUUCGUCCCGUCUUAUGUAUCAUUACGCACCAAACUCUCCCAUAACAUAAUGAUUAUCUGACUUUAAGCUCACAAUAGCCCUAAAUAAUAUAGAAUUAAUCAGAGUUUUUGUUCUAUUUGGACUCGCUUAAGACUAGAACUCCCUUAUUAAGAUCUAAGCAAAUUUAGUAGGUGACUGUAUACACGAACGUAUUCAAGUAUUACGUCAACUUUUGGAGAUUCUUAAACCCCCCCAUUAAACGCGUAAAAUGAUUCGUGAACACCCCCAGUGACUCUUUAUACCUAAAACUUACCAUUAUGAGGUGUAAAUUACUGGAAAGUGGAAAAUAAUAUUACCAAUAACGCGUAAUUCAGUCCCCGCCCCGCAUCGUAACGUUUUACAAGAGGACCCCCCCCCCCCCAAAUUCGUUACGUAAUACUUGAACGCUCCCUUAGCGCGUGAACUUAUUUUUAAUAGGAUCUCGUGCCAGUGCCAUAAUGGCGUACAAACAUAUUUAGCCUUAUUGGUAGUCAGAUACGAGGGGAAUUCAUCAUUACAACUAAAUAUUACAAAACAAUCAUGGUCCCGAUUAUCAAUAAAAGCUUCUAUCUAGAACGGGGUCAAAUAAGUUCAUAAAAUACAUUCUAUUAUAGGCAGCUGUCAUUUGGGUAAUCUAUAAUUAAAUAAAAAAUCUAAUUUAAAGUUUCGGAUUCCACGUGAACACGCAUUAAAGUACGUAUUUAUUACACUUUUAAUAAAAUAUAUUUUUCUUAAUUUUUAUAAGUGUACACAAUAAUUUAGAACACGUUUUGGAACACAGUGCCAUUGCGAUCACGCCGUGUUAUUCGUUCUUUGAUAAUAUUUGGUGAAGUGCCAAUGUUGUAUGGAGUUUAAAAAUAAAAAAUCUGUUUCGGAAGGUUAUAUCGGAGAACGAAGAACACGACACCGUAACACAUGUAAAUGUACUAUAAUGUUUUGUGUUGAUUUCAAAGCAAAUAUUCAAAGUAAUGGUUCACAUCUUUUGCUGCUAAUACUUUCUUCCUAGGUUAAGUGACAAUAUAGAGUCACAAAAAAUAUAUAUGUCGUUUUUUUAGCACCUAUAAGACUUUAAGAAAGAUUUCAUUUGAUUCGAACUUUUUUUUCUGAGUUUAUAUUGUCACCUAAUACGGAAUUCUUUAUCUUGGUGAGCAUUUUACAUGUCUUAGAAGUUAAUAAUGUCAUACAUAUCACCAAUUUGAAGUCGUACUCCGAGUGUAAAAUUCGGAGUUUUAGUUAUAUUUUAUAUCAUGCAUUUUGAUUACAUUUCAACAAAAAAUAUGACGCAAAAGACUACCAAAGAUUAAGUAAUAAUUAUUAUUAUUAAGCAAGCACACCUUCGUUUGUAAAAAUAUAGACUUUACGCGGCUCUUAAAUAGUACAAUAGAAUAAAAAUAAAUAAAAGAAAAUCCGGAUUGUCAUCAGUUACAGUUAGUACACAUUUUUUCACCGCUGUCCCCACUACAGAAUCUAGGCAGUGCCAUGUAAUGUUAUCCGCGAAAAGCGUCAUAGUUAGUGUACAUCACGCACUCUUAGUUUAAUAUUUUAAGAGGUUAGAAUUAGCUACGUACUACCACAUUAAAAUAUGGUGACUACUUCCAUAGCGAGAAUGAUUUCUAUCAUUGUGAAUUUCACAAUUAUUGUUAACCAAGAUUUGCUGUGGAAAAGGGUUUUAGUAUCGAAAUAGUUCACAAAUAAAUCCUCAAAACUUUUUCAAGGAAUUUUUUAACUUAUUUUUAGCAUCAGUAUCAAAAGUUAACUUUAUAGUAAGUCACUGAUGUCUGCAGCAUUUUCUGCGUGGAUAUUACUGACUUUUUCAAUCUCUCUGUAUUAAAAAAAUGUUUUUUAUCAUUGUGUCUUACUGUAAUCGAUUACAGAAUUUAGUUUGACAAUGAAAAUUGCUAUAUUAAAAACCUUUUAAGUGUGUAUAAGUAAAAUGCUCAUUGUGAUAAUAAUAUCGCCAGGUUCGGUAGUGAUUUUUUUAAUAUAUAUUUCCUAUAUAAAAAUGUAAUUAGUCAAGUUUGUUAUAAUACUCGAAAGAUGAUUAAAGAAGGUAUUCCUCCUUUAAUCAUCAAAUGUACUUAACCAAAGCUCUGUUUUGAAGUAUCGAAAUCUUGGAUUCGUAAAGAUUCAGAUCCAGACUUAGCGCGAACUAUAAUGUCCAGCAACACUGGACGCCAAGUUCUUCAUAUUUUCCGUAAGACCAACUUAAAGCGUUUGUUGUACACUCGGUUUGAGAUGUAAUUUCAAAGAUGCAUUAAUAUUAUUUCGAUAUUUGAGUAUUAAAGCUUUUAUAUUAAUUUAUUAAUAGCGACGCUUGGAGUUUAGAUUAAUUUGUUCGGGGCUACAUAUAUAUUAUAUAGAACCGUGCGUUUUAUUUUAUUUUUAAUUGAAAAAAGUUUACACUAUAUAAUUGUACCCUCUAAACAUCCCCUGGACAUCUUGAUUCCCCUAAAUUUGAGGGGAAAACCAUGUUGGCAUUACUGCCGGUAUGUUAAAUCCAACACAUUUUUUACAGACAAGCGUCAUACUUGGCGCUGAGGCUUCAACUUAAAUCCUACCCUUCUAGUCUAUUUAUCAAAGCUUAUAAUUUCUUUUCACUUGUUAACACAGCCAUAUACAACCAUACUUAAAACUAUGCUACUCGUAAUGAUGUUUUAUGAUAUAACUUUUUGGAGGAACGCAUGAUCAAAGUUUUAUUUCAACUUACUAAUUGUGUAAUUUUAUUUUAAAUAAAUAGGUAAGCCUACCGAACCAUUAACAUUUUAGCUUCAUAUUAUGUUUCUACAGC
Molecule: RNA transcript, 9548 nt
Organism: Pieris brassicae (large cabbage white)
Lineage: Eukaryota; Metazoa; Arthropoda; Insecta; Lepidoptera; Pieridae
Gene: shaker
Gene name: potassium voltage-gated channel protein Shaker
Exons: 12
Source: RefSeq, a predicted model, not a curated record